Hippocampus comes (tiger tail seahorse) is the source of this 298-nucleotide long non-coding RNA. RefSeq lists it as uncharacterized. Lineage: Eukaryota; Metazoa; Chordata; Actinopteri; Syngnathiformes; Syngnathidae. The record is from RefSeq and is a predicted model, not a curated record. The transcript has 3 exons.
GAGCGGCCGGAAGAACGAUGUCAUCCGGACGCGGCCGGGUGACAUCGUUCUUGAGCGACGACGGCGUGAUGAACUAGCGUUCAUUCGGCGCUCUUAAUUUGGUGUCGGCGGCGACGGCGUGUGACGCAAUUUCAACGGGGAUCGGGCCAGCCGCCCCAUUUGCGCAUGUCGAGGGGUGUAACCCGUGUGGCGCGCGUCCUUGUUUCGGCGUUCGGAAUUCACCGUCAUCGAUUGAGGCCCGAGUCUCUUUUCCACCAUUUCUUGGAUGGAUCAUAACAGGGGGGGCAAUCAUUUGGAG